GCUUGAAUACAUUAGCAUGGAAUAAUGAAAUAGGACGUUUGACCCUAUUUUGUUGGUUUCUAGGAUCGACGUAAUGAUUAAUAGGGAUAUUGGGGGCAUUAGUAUUCAAUUGUCAGAGGUGAAAUUCUUGGAUUUAUUGAAGACUGACUACUGCGAAAGCAUUUGCCAAGGAUGUUUUCAUUAAUCAAGAACGAAAGUUAGGGGAUCGAAGACGAUCAGAUACCGUCGUAGUCUUAACCAUAAACUAUGCCGACUAGGGAUCGGAUGAUGUUAAUUUUUAAUGACUCAUUCGGCGCCUUACG
This 302-nucleotide ribosomal RNA is filed under the name uncultured Glomus. Its description in RNAcentral is "SSU rRNA". It matches the Rfam family "Eukaryotic small subunit ribosomal RNA", at positions 793 to 1092 of the family's 1831-position model. The record is from RNAcentral. Lineage: Eukaryota; Fungi; Glomeromycota; Glomeromycetes; Glomerales; Glomeraceae.